UAUAUUUUUAAAUACAUAAUCCAUCCUGUGAUCCCACACAAUAAAAACAUUUUUACCCAACAGUCUUUAUUCAUUCUGUCCCUUCAUUCAGACAAAAAAAACAAAACAAACAGAAAAACAAACAUGGCUGUUGUGUUGCAGCAUGUUGUCGUCACACUGUCACUACUGUAGAGGUAGACAAGCUGCUGCCGCUGCUCUGUCCUCCAGCUGCUAACAAAGAACUGAGACAAAAGGUGCAGGGUCCUGCUCAGAUGUUAUGUAUGUCAGGUGUGAUGUCAAAGUUCGGAUCUUCUCCCAGAGUUUGAGGCUUCUGCUCAGUGUCGUAGCUGUUCCCAGGACUUCACUCUUCUGGACGGAGAUCUCAGAUGUUGCUCCUGGAAUCUGCCGGAGCCCCUCUCCCAGUUUCAGGGUCACAGCUCCCAGUGCUCCUAUUACCACUGAAACCUCCAUUCUCCGUAUCUUCUCCAGCUCUUCUUUCAGCCCCUUGAUCCUCCGGAGGAGCGACGUGUGAAAUACACACACCCCUGCAGACACACACAAACUGUGUUGACAGUGUGUCCUGUGGGUGCCAGGUAGCAGCCGGGGUUUAUCAUGCUGCUUGGACAUAUGGCUGCUGCGGCAAAUCUGAUUAAUAUGGGAAGGCCAGGAGUCCAGCGUACAGCAGAGGACAGACUGCAACAGGACAUCCCCACUGGUCCGGCCUCCCCCGCACACCGUGCCAGGCCUCCAUCCAGCGCGGCUAAAAACAGACCAGUCGUCAGGGAUUCAGAUGGUCUGAGCGGCGGGUGAGCGGGAGGAGCUGAGGGGUGCUGGACGGAUUUAGAAAAGCAUUUUUUUUUUUUUUUUUUGGAUGCAUUAAAAUUAAUGUAUCACCAUUUC
Molecule: long non-coding RNA, 879 nt
Organism: Acanthopagrus latus (yellowfin seabream)
Lineage: Eukaryota; Metazoa; Chordata; Actinopteri; Spariformes; Sparidae
Exons: 3
Source: RefSeq, a predicted model, not a curated record